CAACUCCUAGGGACAGUGGAAAUGCACCACACCUGGUGGUGGUAGGUGAUGGUGCUAAGUAGCUGAAAGGCAGGUUGUGCUUAAUAUACAACAGUGGCAACUUGUGAUUUAGCACCAAGUUCAAGGGCUUAAAGGCUAUAAUUCUUGUUCUUUUGACUGAGGAUCUUGACAACCAGCCUUACCAACGUUUGUGUUAUUUGAAACUUCACGGAACUCUCUCAUCGGCGAAUAGGGGUUUUCAUUAUGUAAAGCAUAUGCAGAAGAAGCCAGUGGUCUAACGUGAUCUAGUACUUAAAGAAACAAAGGAGUCAGACCUGGUGACCUGAGUUCAAGUCCUAGGAUCCACAGAAAGAUGGAAGAAGAAAUCAAGAAAGAAACAGAACUUAGAGAUAUAAAUCCAUGUAAAAUAACAUAAACACUCACCAUAGACAUACCGAGACACACACAGCAUCUGUGCUGAAAACCCUCAAUAUCUCUUACAAAAGAAAUGAAAAAUGACCCAGAAUGACACAUCCCGCUUCAGGCUAGAAGUCUGAACAGAGCCAACAUUCUAGCUCUUCUCCAAAUGGGUAUGCAGAUUCUGUAGAAUUUCAUUCCAAUUCCCAAUGACAUGAAUGUAGACACAGACAAAUCUAUUUCAGAUUUUCUUUCAACCGGGCAUGGUGGCACAAGCCUUUAAGACCAGCACCCAGGCAGCAGAGGUAGGUGGAUCUCUGUGAGCUGGUCUACCAAUAGGGGCUGCAUAGGGAGACACUGUCUAAUAAAUAAAUGAAGAAAAAUCAAUCUAAAUAAAUAAAUUGAAAACAAAAUUUAAAAUGCCUGUUAUAAUACCUGGAAUAAUCUUUGAAGUUGUUUGAGAUUUUUGUUUUUGUUUUGAUUGGCCAUUCC
Peromyscus maniculatus bairdii (prairie deer mouse) is the source of this 888-nucleotide non-coding RNA. Lineage: Eukaryota; Metazoa; Chordata; Mammalia; Rodentia; Cricetidae. The record is from RefSeq and is a predicted model, not a curated record.